This 635-nucleotide ribosomal RNA is filed under the name uncultured bacterium. Its description in RNAcentral is "bacterial SSU rRNA". It matches the Rfam family "Bacterial small subunit ribosomal RNA", at positions 749 to 1388 of the family's 1533-position model. The record is from RNAcentral.
AAGCACGAAAGCGUGGGUAUCAAACAGGAUUAGAUACCCUGGUAGUCCACGCAGUAAACGAUGAUUACUAGGAGUUUGCGAUACACAGUAAGCUCUACAGCGAAAGCGUUAAGUAAUCCACCUGGGGAGUACGCCGGCAACGGUGAAACUCAAAGGAAUUGACGGGGGCCCGCACAAGCGGAGGAACAUGUGGUUUAAUUCGAUGAUACGCGAGGAACCUUACCCGGGUUUGAACGUAGUCAGACCGGCCUUGAAAGAGGUCUUCUAGCAAUAGCUGAUUACGAGGUGCUGCAUGGUUGUCGUCAGCUCGUGCCGUGAGGUGUCGGCUUAAGUGCCAUAACGAGCGCAACCCUUAUCACUAGUUACUAACAGGUUAAGCUGAGGACUCUGGUGAGACUGCCAGCGUAAGCUGUGAGGAAGGUGGGGAUGACGUCAAAUCAGCACGGCCCUUACAUCCGGGGCGACACACGUGUUACAAUGGCAUGGACAAAGGGCAGCUACCUGGCGACAGGAUGCUAAUCUCUAAACCAUGUCUCAGUUCGGAUCGGAGUCUGCAACUCGACUCCGUGAAGCUGGAUUCGCUAGUAAUCGCGCAUCAGCCAUGGCGCGGUGAAUACGUUCCCGGGCCUUGACAC